RNAcentral lists this ribosomal RNA (493 nucleotides) under uncultured bacterium. RNAcentral describes it as "partial 16S ribosomal RNA". It matches the Rfam family "Bacterial small subunit ribosomal RNA", at positions 28 to 506 of the family's 1533-position model. The record is from RNAcentral.
GACGAACGCUGGCGGCGUGCUUAACACAUGCAAGUCGAACGGUGAAGCGCCUUCCUUUUUGGUGGGUGUGGAUGAGUGGCGAACGGGUGAGUAACACGUGAGUAACCUGCCCCCUUCUUCUGGAUAACCGCAUGAAAGUGUGGCUAAUACGGGAUAUUCUGGGUCUGUCGCAUGAUGGGUCUGGGAAAGAUAUUGUUUCGGUGGGGGAUGGGCUCGCGGCCUAUCAGCUUGUUGGUGGGGUGAUGGCCUACCAAGGCGGUGACGGGUAGCCGGCCUGAGAGGGUGGACGGUUACACUGGGACUGAGACACGGCCCAGACUCCUACGGGAGGCAGCAGUGGGGAAUAUUGCACAAUGGGCGCAAGCCUGAUGCAGCGGCGCCGCGUGAGGGAUGGAGGCCUUCGGGUUGUGAACCUCUUUCGCCAGUGAAGCAGGCCUGCCUCGUUUGUGGGUGGGUUGACGGUAGCUGGAUAAGAAGCGCCGGCUAACUACGU